This 305-nucleotide ribosomal RNA is filed under the name uncultured bacterium. RNAcentral describes it as "partial 16S ribosomal RNA". It matches the Rfam family "Bacterial small subunit ribosomal RNA", at positions 505 to 807 of the family's 1533-position model. The record is from RNAcentral.
ACAGCAGCAGCCGCGGGAAUACGUAGGGUCCGAGCGUUGUCCGGAAUUAUUGGGCGUAAAGGGCUCGUAGGCGGUUUGUCGCGUCGGGAGUGAAAACCAGCAGCUUAACUGCUGGCCUGCUUUCGAUACGGGCAGACUUGAGGCAUUCAGGGGAGAACGGAAUUCCUGGUGUAGCGGUGAAAUGCGCAGAUAUCAGGAGGAACACCGGUGGCGAAGGCGGUUCUCUGGGAAUGUUCUGACGCUGAGGAGCGAAAGUGUGGGGAGCGAACAGGAUUAGAUACCCGCGUAGUCCCUGUCUCUUAUAC